RNAcentral lists this long non-coding RNA (1122 nucleotides) under Oreochromis niloticus (Nile tilapia). RNAcentral describes it as "lncRNA (ENSONIG00000028440.1)". Lineage: Eukaryota; Metazoa; Chordata; Actinopteri; Cichliformes; Cichlidae. The record is from RNAcentral.
UGCGAGACACUUCAAAGAAGUGGAGGAGAGGUAAAUGUGUUUUAAUCUCAUGAUUCUAAUAAUACUACAGAUAUCUGGAAUAUACAUUCAAAGAUAAUUCUAACAAAGAUAAUGUUUAAUGUAGCCUUAGAAAUUAAGCUUUUUUAAACUCGAGAACAAAUACUAAUAAGUCAAAGUCAUUAAGGAGUGUUGCAGUCAAUGUGUUCAGGUUUUAAUUUGGCAUUGUGUCUUCAUCAGGCAAUGUAUUGUCCAUAUUGUGGAAUCCAGCUAGUGGGGCAAAUUGGAGUUUUUUGUGGGUCCUGUGGAACUAACAUUCAAGUUUUAGCACCUUUUAUAGAGAAUGGCCCAGUCUCAGUCACAGACAUCAUCAAUAAGUAUUUCUCUGAGGGCCAUACAUAUGAAGUGAUCCUGGACUUUCUUGAAAACAAGCAUAAUAUUUGUAUGAGUCUGAGAACAUUAAAGAAGAGGCUAAAAGAUGCUGGAAUGACUAGAAGGACUGACUUUACUCCCACUGACAUUGUCAUUUCCACUGUUACACAAGAACUGAGAGGCUCAGGUCAGCUUCUGGGUUACAGAUCCAUGUGUCAGACACUGCGACAAAAGUAUAAUCUGACAGUUAAAAGAAAUGAUGUAAUGCACAUACUCUCAAGACUAGAUCCAUAUGGUGUUAAGCGUCGCUGUAAACGCCGGUUUGUUCGAAGAGGAUAUUUUUCAGAAGGACCAAAUCAAGUGUGGCAUGUGGAUGGAUAUGAUAAGCUGAAACCCUUUGGUGUUGCUAUUAGUGCAUGUGUCGAUGGAUUUUCAAGGAAAGUUAUGUGGCUCAACUGUGGCAGCUCAAAUAAUGACCCAGGUGUUAUUGCAAAAUAUUAUAUGGAGUGCGUGACACGGUUUGGUCAACUUCCAGCAUGCCUUCGUACAGACUGUGGCACAGAAAAUGGCACAAUGGCAGCCAUUCACUGUGCUUUAAGAUCAGACCAUGGAGAUGAACUUGCAGGAGCCCACAGUCAUAUGUAUGGCACCUCAACUACAAAUCAACGGAUUGAAAGUUGGUGGUCUUCGUUCAGAAAGCAAAGGUACAUGGCUUUUAAAAUAUAUUCUGAAACUAAAAUUGAAUGGUUCUGA